GACGAACGCUGGCGGCGUGCUUAACACAUGCAAGUCGAACGGUGAUGCUCCAGCUUGCUGGAGUGGAUCAGUGGCGAACGGGUGAGUAACACGUGAGCAACCUGCCCCAGACUCUGGAAUAAGCGCUGGAAACGGCGUCUAAUACUGGAUACGAAACUGGCCCGCAUGGGCAUGGUUUGGAAAGUUUUUCGGUUUGGGAUGGGCUCGCGGCCUAUCAGCUUGUUGGUAAGGUAAUGGCUCACCAAGGCGACGACGGGUAGCCGGCCUGAGAGGGCGACCGGCCACACUGGGACUGAGACACGGCCCAGACUCCUACGGGAGGCAGCAGUGGGGAAUAUUGCACAAUGGGCGAAAGCCUGAUGCAGCGACGCCGCGUGAGGGAUGACGGCCUUCGGGUUGUAAACCUCUUUCAGCAGGGAAGAAGCGAAAGUGACGGUACCUGCAGAAGAAGCACCGGCUAACUACGUG
RNAcentral lists this ribosomal RNA (468 nucleotides) under uncultured bacterium. RNAcentral describes it as "partial 16S ribosomal RNA". It matches the Rfam family "Bacterial small subunit ribosomal RNA", at positions 28 to 507 of the family's 1533-position model. The record is from RNAcentral.